AUUGAACGCUGGCGGCAGGCCUAACACAUGCAAGUCGGACGGUAGCACAGAGGAGCUUGCUCCUCGGGUGACGAGUGGCGGACGGGUGAGUAAUGUCUGGGGAUCUGCCCGAUAGAGGGGGAUAACCACUGGAAACGGUGGCUAAUACCGCAUAACGUCGCAAGACCAAAGAGGGGGACCUUCGGGCCUCUCACUAUCGGAUGAACCCAGAUGGGAUUAGCUAGUAGGCGGGGUAACGGCCCACCUAGGCGACGAUCCCUAGCUGGUCUGAGAGGAUGACCAGGCACACUGGAACUGAGACACGGUCCAGACUCCUACGGGAGGCAGCAGUGGGGAAUAUUGCACAAUGGGCGCAAGCCUGAUGCAGCCAUGCCGCGUGUAUGAAGAAGGCCUUCGGGUUGUAAAGUACUUUCAGCGGGGAGGAAGGCGAUGUGGUUAAUAACCGCAUUGAUUGACGUUACCCGCAGAAGAAGCACCGGCUAACACCGUGCCAGCAGCCGCAGUAA
This 506-nucleotide ribosomal RNA is filed under the name uncultured bacterium. RNAcentral's name for it is "partial 16S ribosomal RNA". It matches the Rfam family "Bacterial small subunit ribosomal RNA", at positions 29 to 523 of the family's 1533-position model. The record is from RNAcentral.